This is an RNA transcript of Cercocebus atys (sooty mangabey), 3971 nucleotides long. It is a transcript of the gene named coiled-coil domain containing 15, with no coding region annotated. The transcript has 17 exons. Lineage: Eukaryota; Metazoa; Chordata; Mammalia; Primates; Cercopithecidae. The record is from RefSeq and is a predicted model, not a curated record.
GGCGGGACGGAGCAGUCCGCCCCGAAGUGGCGGUUUACUUGAGGCGGUUACCUUAGUACACCGAGUAGACUGAGUCUGUGGCGAAUUGCGGGCCGAUUCCCGGCCAGUGCCAUCUCAGCCGGAGUGGACCUCGGGGCCUCAGAAGCAGACUUUUAUCUGGCCCGAGGCUCCCAGCCGUUCAGCGCGUCUUCCCAUAACCGGAUACCGAUUAUUGGGACUCUCAGCUGCAGACACAGGUCCCCGCCCCUCCCUCUUUCUCCGGUCUGCUGCUGUCAUUCCUCCCUUCCCGCCUCGCUGCGCCCACAGCGGGGCACAGUCAUCGUUCUGUCAUUCCCAUCCUUUCUCUUCCCUCUCAUCGCCAUUUCUUCUAGAAGGCAACUUAAAAACCUUUCCUUGCCUCUUUAUGCUCAUUUCUCUUCCCUUCUUUUCUUCCUUUUUCUCUAGAAUACUUGUGUUUCCACUCCGUGCCAGGCUUCUGCCUCCAGGGCUUCUCUCCUUUUCAUGGGCCUGUGGCUCAUGUGUUAGGAGGUUGAACUUUUAAUGCAGUCGUUUGAAGAUUUUAAGCUUUUUCUUUCUCCUAACCAGGAGUCACAGAUGCUGGGAAGUAUGGCCCCAAAGAAACCUCGAAAUACCACAAGGUUACCCCUGGCUUUAAACCCCCUGAAGAGCAAGGACGUGUUGGCAGUGCUGGCUGAGAGGAACCAGGCUAUAGUACCAGUUGGGGCAUGGGUGGAACCUGCCUCACCAGGUAGUUCGGAAAUCCCAGCAUAUACAUCAGCAUAUUUGAUUGAAAAAGAACUAAAGGAACAGCUAAGAAGAAAACAAGAAGCUUUGAAACAUUUUCAGAAGCAAGUUAAAUAUCGAGUAAAUCAACAAAUUAGGUUGAGAAAAAAGCAACAGCUUCAGAAGUCUUAUGAAAGAGCAGAAAAAGAAGGCUCUAUAGCCAUGCAGUCUUCAGCAGCACGCUUAACUUCCAAAAGGACAAGUGUUUUUCCAAACAAUUUGAAUGCUGCUAUUGGAAGUUCUAGGUUACCUCCUUCCCUGAUGCCUGGGGAUGGAAUAGAGGAUGAAGAGAAUCAGAACGAAUUAUUCCAACAACAAGCCCAGGCUCUUAGUCAAACUAUGAAACAGGCACGUCACCGGCUAGCAUCCUUUAAAACUGUGAGUGAAAAAAAGAGAUCAGUGUUUCCAGAUGAUGGAAGGAAAAGCUUUCCCACCCGAGAGAAAGUGCUUUCUAGGAAACCAGCAUCCACUGGGAUAAAUACAGGAAUAAAAGGAGAGUUGCCCAUUAAGGUUCAUCAAGGUCUUUUAGCUGCUGUACCUUACCAGAAUUAUAUGGAAAAUCAGGAACUUGACUAUGAGGAACCUGACUAUGAGAAAUCUUCAUCUCUUGUAACUGAUGAGAAAGCGAAAGAAGAUUUAUUUGGGAGAGACCAGCAGGAGCAGCAGGAUAUCCUUUCUGAAGAUAAGAACGAACCUUUCAGCAGAGUUCAGAAAGUAAAAUUCAAAGAUCCAUUAUUUGUUCUGAUGGAAGAAGAACAACAAAAGCAGAUACAUUUUGAGGGCCUUCAGGAUAUUCUGCCAGAAGCUCAGGAUUAUCUUCCAGAAGCCCAAGGUGAUUUGGUGGAAACCCAGGGUGAUUUGACAGGAAUCCAGAGUGUUGAGCCAGAUACCCAGGCUGUUGAGCUGAAGGUUCAGAUUACUGAGCCAGAAGGCCAGGCCACUGAGCCAGAAGGCCAGCCUAUUAAGACAGAAACUCAGGGUAUUAUGCUGAAAGCCCAGAGUAUUGAGCUAGAAGAAAGGAGUAUUGUGUUGGAAACUCAGGAUUUUCUACCCCCAAAUCAGGCUUUUCUAACUAAAAACCAGGAUGUUUUACUCAAAGACCACUGUGUUCUCCCUAAAGACCAGAAUAUUCUACUCAAAUAUCAGGACCAGGAUUUCCUACCCAGAGACCAACAUGUUCUCCCCAAAGACCAAGAUAUUCUACCUAAAUAUCAAGACCAGGAUUUUCUACCUAAAGACCAGGAUUUUUUAUGCAGAGACCAGCAUGUUCUCCCUAAAGACUGGAAUAUUCUACCCAAACGUCAGGACCAGGAUUUUCUACCCAGAGACCGAGGUUAUCUUCCCAAAGACCAAAAUAUUCUACUCAUAUGUCAGGACCGGGAUUUUCUCCCCAGAGACCUGCAUGUUCUCUCCAACGACCAGAAUAUUCUAUCCAAAUGUCAGGACCAAGAUUUUCUACCAAAAUAUCAGAAAGUACACUUUAAGGAGCCAUACUCUGAUAUGACAGAUGAGAAAGGGAGAGAAGACUUGUCUCUGGCAGAUUAUCAGUGUUUGCCUCCCAAAUCCCAGGACCAGGAUGACAUCAGAAACCAGCAACCUCCAUCUUUUAUGAGAGAAGAGAGAGUGAGAGAAGAAUUGCCUCUGGACUGUCAUCAAUAUGUUAUACCUAAAAUCCAGGACCAAGACUCUCCUAGAGGACAGAACAAGCAUUUCAAACCACCCUCAUCUUUUGAGAAAUGGGAGAUUGCAAGAGGAAAUAUUCCUGGAGUGCCAUCGGCUUAUGAUGGAUAUCGAUCAGGAUUGAGCACUGAAUUCCAAGCUCCACUCGCAUUUCAGUCUGGCGUAGAUAAAGAAGAAGAAAAGAAAGAGCGUCAAAAGCAGUACCUGAGACAUAGACGACUUUUCAUGGAUAUUGAGAGAGAACAAGUAAAAGAACAACAAAGGCAAAAAGAACAAAAGAAGAAAAUUGAAAAGUCUUUCUCUACAGGUGAUAAGACUCUUACUCAGGGCAAUCUUAGAAGAUUUGAGGCUCAGUAUCUGCUUCUGAAGUCAGGAGUUAGAAUCCCCUUGCUGGCAGCUGAUUAGAUUGUGCCCACUGAGGUUAAGAAUUAAGAAAAAGAGAGAGCAAGAACGUUAUGCUGAAGAGCAGAGGAUCCUAAGAAUGAACUUUCAUGAAGAUCCAUAUUCAGGAGAGAAAAUGAGUGAGAUAUUAGCCCAGUUACAACUUGAAGAAAUAAAAGGAGCCAGAGAAAAACAACAACAGAGAGAAAAAGAAUACCUGAGAUAUGUAGAAGCUUUACGAGCCCAAAUCCAGGAGAAAAUGCAGCUGUAUAAUAUUACUUUACCUCCACUAUGUUGUUGUGGUCCUGAUUUUUGGGAUGCUCAUCCUGAUACCUGUGCCAACAACUGUAUUUUCUAUAAAAACCACAGGGCAUAUACUCGGGCACUACAUUCAUUCAUCAAUUCCUGUGAUGUCCCUGGGGGUAAUUCAGCUCUUCGAGUCGCAAUUCAUAAUUUUGCUUCUGCACACAGGCGGACUUUGAAAAAUCUAUAAUAAGAAUCUGAAAUUAACUGGUAGUAUUUUGGCUUUUACUUAAAAUCAGCCCUGAGAGAUUAUUUAAGAAAAGCUGUUCAAGUUAUAAAAUAUAUACUCUGGAAAGAAAUACUGUCUCAUGUAAUAACUGUCUUUAUAAUUAGAUUGUAAUCAUUGUUUUAAUCUGCCUUGGAACCAAGAUUGAAAGCUGACUUACUCGUCUCUUCUUUCUUGUGAACCAUAUGGAGCCUAUUAUUUUAAAAUAUGAUCAGACAAGUAAGGCUUCUCUUACUUUGCUCUGCUCUGAUCAGAGAGCUCAUGUGAAAUCUUUGAGAUUCUCUCAUUUAUCAUCUUUCUAAAACUGUGUUUUUGAGCUUGACAAUACUGAAAAUGUCUGGAUGAAGCAGAAAAGAAAGUGAUGAAAUGUGUUUCUGAACAUCAGUGGCCAUCCAUAUUGCCAUUACCUUUUCUAGAUAUAUAUAAGAAUUCAAGAUUAUAAGAAUUUAAAUUUGUUGCACAUUUUUUUCUCAAAAUUUUUUCUCUUGUUUUUAAAGAUAUAUUGCCUCUUUCCCCAUUCAGUGACACUAGACAUAGGAAUUUUUAAUUGUGUAAUUUUCUGUUGCAGAAAAGGUAAAUAAAUCCUUUGUCUUUUGAA